Molecule: ribosomal RNA, 484 nt
Filed under: uncultured bacterium
Lineage: Bacteria
Description: partial 16S ribosomal RNA
Rfam family: Bacterial small subunit ribosomal RNA
Source: RNAcentral
AUUGAACGCUAGCGGGAUGCUUUACACAUGCAAGUCGAACGGCAGCGCGGACUUCGGUCUGGCGGCGAGUGGCGAACGGGUGAGUAAUGUAUCGGAACGUGCCCAGUAGCGGGGGAUAACUACGCGAAAGCGUAGCUAAUACCGCAUACGCCCUACGGGGGAAAGCAGGGGAUCGUAAGACCUUGCACUAUUGGAGCGGCCGAUAUCGGAUUAGCUAGUUGGUGAGGUAACGGCUCACCAAGGCGACGAUCCGUAGCUGGUUUGAGAGGACGACCAGCCACACUGGGACUGAGACACGGCCCAGACUCCUACGGGAGGCAGCAGUGGGGAAUUUUGGACAAUGGAGGCAACCCUGAUCCAGCCAUCCCGCGUGUGCGAUGAAGGCCUUCGGGUUGUAAAGCACUUUUGGCAGGAAAGAAACGUCGCGGGCUAAUACCCCGUGGAACUGACGGUACCUGCAGAAUAAGCACCGGCUAACUACGUG